Long non-coding RNA from Oryzias melastigma (Indian medaka), 386 nucleotides. RefSeq lists it as uncharacterized. The record is from RefSeq and is a predicted model, not a curated record. The transcript is spliced from 3 exons. Lineage: Eukaryota; Metazoa; Chordata; Actinopteri; Beloniformes; Adrianichthyidae.
CACCGUGGUUGUUAAAAACUCUACCAUUGUGUAUUUCCCGACCAUGGCACUACACACGCCGGACCGCCGUGGAUUUUACAGCAGGGAUAAACGAACUUCCGGUUCGAAUUUUUCAAAGUAAAGUCACGUUGUUGAAAACUCCACAGAUGUCCGCUCCCACCAGAGGCACUCCGAACAGGCUGAACUGCAGCACGGCUGACAGAGGGAAGAAAAGCUACAGAAACCACUGCCUGAACACAGAGAAUCGUCCGCUGCCGGGGAAGGAGGAGCGCGACAGGACAAAGGGUCUCUUCCUCCGAAUGUUCUUGAGAGCACUGAAGGUGGACGCAUUUUAAAAAGUCAAUGUUAUCCUCAAGCAUCCUCAGUCCAGGUGAAAUAAAAAAAAA